ACGGCGGUCAAAAUGCCCACGUGUCCCUCCGUUUUACAUGAGUUUUGUUAACAAUUUUGUUGUGGUGCUUCGUGCUAUGACAGAGAAAACCUACGAAGAGCAAGGUUGUCUAGCGAUCACAUCGUGCCGUUGGGGAAAGGCCGCAGGGUAGUGACGUCGAGACUCUAGAUCUACACUGUGUGACAGACAACUCUUUGUUAAACCCGCUUGACACCUUGGCGUUCACACCUAUGGAAUCUCCGGAUGUAAGACACCAAAUCUGCUGCUUUCAGAUGAGAGAUCUUAGAGUCUUGUUCAGGUAAGGCCCAAGACUCUGCAGCUAUAUAUACAACUACACGAGAGCGAUUAUUUAGAAACCGCUUCAUUGGAAGAAUAUAUGCGAAACGGACCCAAAACGACCGUCAAUAACUGCUGCUGUAAUUACUGCCGUGAGAAAUUGUAUUGAUCUCAUUCGAGCCAUCUGAAAUCUCUAUAACCCUGACAAGCAAAUCGGCAGCGAAGGGCUUCGGGCGCAGUGACAGGAACGCAGGAGGAGGAAGGAACAUUGUGAAUUCACAACUGAAUGCUGAACCAGCCGAUUUGUCUUUAUUUCACUCCGGAGUUUAAUUAAGUGUGCGCCGUGGUUUAUCGUGCGCUAACCCCUACGACCGGAUGACAUUCAUUUGUGGUUCGGAGAGAGACGACAAAAGUCGCAGUGAAUACCAUUUAGAGGCUUGUGUCGAGCAGUGAUGGGUUAUAGACAAACCACUUGGCAUGCCUUGAUUAUGCUGGGGAUGUAAUUGAUGAUAACAAAUGCUGGUACUACGUUGACGUGAAUAAUGGAAGGAGAGAAUGGCAUCAUUCCAAUAGUGGAGUUUAAGGGAACUGUUUGAUGCAUGCAGUAUCAUUUAACAUCUGAUGAAACGUGGGUGCUCGCAUUAGUUGGAUUCGCAACCACCAAGUAAUUCUAUUGAUGAUGUCAUCCUUCUAGGGUGGGAACAUUAUGAGAACAUCAUGUCACUGAUCACAAAUGACGUCAUAGUUUAAGCAACCAUUCCAUUCAGAUCCUCCUUGUCGAGCGGUCAUACUUUUUUUUGAAAUUUUGUCGAGAACUUCACGGCUAAUUAACGGUCCUUGGACCUCGUUUUAUGCACGGAGUGUUUUUGUGAAGUGGCCGUCGCAAUCAUCUUCAUCUACGCUAUUAUUGAUAUCAGUGUCAUCUGCCCUAUCUCUGGAACUUACCCGAGGGGCAAGGACAAGCAUCUGCUAAGUGCUUCAAAUAUUUCUCAGGACUGAGGUAAGAAAACUCUUUGUUUAUUUCUGUUUUAAAAUAUUAUUAUAUUGUUAGCAUUUAUUUUUUUCAAGAGGGGUCCGAAUGUCGAGUUAAGU
Asterias rubens (European starfish) is the source of this 1368-nucleotide long non-coding RNA. RefSeq lists it as uncharacterized. The record is from RefSeq and is a predicted model, not a curated record. The transcript is spliced from 3 exons. NCBI's taxonomy places the organism in Eukaryota, Metazoa, Echinodermata, Asteroidea, Forcipulatida, Asteriidae.